RNAcentral lists this ribosomal RNA (406 nucleotides) under uncultured bacterium. RNAcentral describes it as "partial 16S ribosomal RNA". It matches the Rfam family "Bacterial small subunit ribosomal RNA", at positions 29 to 526 of the family's 1533-position model. The record is from RNAcentral.
AUUGAACGCUGGCGGCAGGCUUAACACAUGCAAGUCGAGCGAGCGGCGGACGGGUGAGUAAUGUCUGGGAAACUGCCUGAUGGAGGGGGAUAACUACUGGAAACGGUAGCUAAUACCGCAUACCAUCAGAUGUGCCCAGAUGGGAUUAGCUAGUAGGUGGGAUAAUGGCUCACCUAGGCGACGAUCCCUAGCUGGGCUGAGGGGAUGACCAGCAACUCGGGAACUGAGACACGGUCCAGACUCUGACGGAGGGCAGCAGUGGGGAAUAUUGGACAAUGGGGGCAAGCCUGAUGCAGCCAUGCCGCGUGGGUGAAGAAGGCCUUCGGGUUGUAAAGCACGUUCAGCGAGGAGGCGUUACUCGCAGAAGAAGCACCGGCUAACUCCGUGCCAGCCGCCGCGGUAAUAC